GUGUCAGAAGGAGGGUGGUAAAUUUGGCACUCAAGAGGGAAACUUAUGUGCUUCAUGAGGUCAUUGCUUACAGUACAACUACUAAAAGAGCAUUGCCUGCAAACUCUUUUGUGAUCAGUUUCUUCCCUUCUCUCAUAUACCCUCUGUAGGUCCACUGAUUGCAUUUUGAGAGCUCAGAUAAGCAGAGAGCAAUGCAAUUUGUCACGGAAGGAUGAUUAUGUAUAUGCACUGUUAUGUCUAUUUCCAUGCCUAACUCGAAGGAGACACAGGGAGAAAGUGAGCUCAGCCCGGGUAAAUUGGAGGUUGUGAUGACUUCGAGGAAGCCUCAGUAAAGAGAAACAAAGACAACACUGGCCUGCUGCUCUGUGCAAUGGUGGGACCCUUGUGGGAUAACUGUUGUAGGAAUGAAGGUGUCUAGCCUCUCUAGAAAUGAAAAUGUAAGUUUGGCUGUGGUUGAGUAUUGAAUGGAGGCAAAAAGAAACUGACAUAUUUGCUCCUUUUCAAUUGUUUGUUUCACCCUGAGGGGCAUGGCUGCCUAAUUUUUUUCUCCAGAGAUAGGUGGACAGAUAAAGACAGGAAAGUAACAUCCACAGACUGCCCUCUGUGAAGGUGACAGUGAUGAAGGGAAUGCGUGAUCUGAACACUGGUAAAUAAAGUGACAGCAUAUUUCCCUAGCCAGGAGAGCAAUCUGGCUUAAAAGAAACGAGAACAAUGACAUUACUGCCAGGCUGCUCCUAAGCCUUUGGCUAUUCUGUUCAGUACAAAUAAAAAGCAGUGAACAUAGCUGUGACCCACCUUGUUGGCAACCACAGUGUCACAAUUCUUUGGGGCUUCACUUUGAGAAAUUGAGACCUACCUACCUUAACCCUGGGGGUUUAAGCUUUCAGACUGGAAUGACAACUGAACUAUUCAUUUGCAGUAAUUCUGGAUUUUGUGCAUAUUUUAAAAAGGAAUACCAGGCUUGCCUAUAUUCAUUACAAAGUCCUCCCAGCUUUCAAAUCUUCCAAUACAAUGUCUCUUCUCUAGUCUUUUAAGCACAUCCUGUGACUGGAUAUGAUUAUGGGAGAUUUACAUGCAUCCUUGUCUAUUGUAUCAAAAGAUCAGGGAAUAAAAUGCCCAUCAUUAAAAUCCCAAAGUGAUUGGAUUGGCAUGAGGAAUGGGGAUGGGGCUGGCAUGGGAGAGAGGGCUCUGACUCUGAGAUUUCAUGAAAUGCAAAACAAUAGGACAGCUGCUCUUCCAUAAACAGAUUAUUAUUAUUAUUUCUACCUAGACAGCUUGAUAGCAGCCAUUAUCUUCUUUCUGGGUGUCUUAUCAAGUUCCGGCUGUGUGCAGCAUGGGUGAUAAGGAAUGAGAAAUGUCACCCAUGGGAUUGCCAAGGAUUAUUUCUAUGCACUGCUGUUCAGCAACAGCCAAUCCCUCAGAACUGAGAAGUAGUCCCAUUGUUCACGCUGGGCAGUUGCUAUUCUGACUAUCCCAAGAAAGCAGAAAAGGGAUGUAGUUGCCAUUGUGCAAAAGAUUGAUAUUUCAUUACUCUCAGCUAAAGUUCAAGCAGUCUUGAUUUUGAAAAGCAGAAUCAUCAUGAAACAUCUUUGAAGAGAGAGAAGACAAGGGAAGAAAAGAAGAAUGAAAUGAGUUCAGAGCUUUUUAGAACUGUGAGAGAGUGCGAAAAAAGAAAGGUGUAAUACUUUCAAACAGUGGAAGUUAAAAUACCAGGCGUCUAAGCCUCAACGAAACCGAGCAGCAUCACAUCACCAUGACUUGUAGUCCAGCUGUUUAUUGCAAAGACUCCGUCCAGCAUUACUCACCAGAAAAUAGUUAGCUUUGUAUCUGGCAUUAUUUUAAUAAAAAAAAAAAAAAAAGCUAACUUACUAGAUUUCUGUUUGUCUGUGUUUCAUACAAGAUUCUUGAAUGAAAAUAAUCUAUUGAUAUUUAACAUUUUUCCUUUCCUUCUCGAUGAGAAAAUAAACAUUUUAUUAUACAUGCA
Long non-coding RNA from Piliocolobus tephrosceles (Ugandan red Colobus), 1984 nucleotides. RefSeq lists it as uncharacterized. The record is from RefSeq and is a predicted model, not a curated record. NCBI's taxonomy places the organism in Eukaryota, Metazoa, Chordata, Mammalia, Primates, Cercopithecidae. The transcript has 2 exons.